This 292-nucleotide long non-coding RNA is filed under the name Setaria viridis. RNAcentral describes it as "long non-coding RNA (SVIR_LNC004059)". Lineage: Eukaryota; Viridiplantae; Streptophyta; Magnoliopsida; Poales; Poaceae. The record is from RNAcentral.
GAAUAGCCAAGGGAGGCGAAACAACACUUCCGAAGAAUUACACUUAGGGGUGGUAAAAGGGUUCAAAUUUAUCCUAGCAAAUUUAAGGAUCCAGUUCAAUAAGAGCCGAGUCAUAAUAAUAUAUGAUUUUGGUAGAGCUGAGUUGAAUUGUGAAGGAGAUAUGAGGGCCAUAAUCCAUUACCACCCUAAGUACACUAUUUAUCAAUUGAAGAGGACGUAAUUAACUGCGCCCUUUGUUAGAGGGAAGUAGAGAGAAGAAGCAGGGAACUACAAUGCUGACCAUGGAUGUACU